CACCAUGGCUCUUUCAUCAGAGAGAGCUGGGGGGUGGUGAGGGGAAGGUGGAGGCCGGCCUGGAAGGAAACCCGGGGGUCAGAGGAACCUGGGGGGCUUCACAAGGCUGGGGAGAGGGGUGUGCUGAAUGUGCUCUGCCACCCAGGUGUCAAGCUCUGGACUCUGGUCUCCAGCUCAGAGUAGAUGAUGCUGCCAGUGGAGACCAGGAGGCCGGUGGGGAGAGCCUGCCUGAUGGGGGAGCAGAGGGGUCCAUGUUCCCUUCCUCAGUCUGGAGACUAUUCCUAGCCUUGGGGCUGCACCUAGGGAUGGACUGAUCCAGGCUGAACCCACAUCUCUGGUGACAUGAGGGGUGAAGGGACUGCUCUGAAAGACUGGCUUGUAACACACCCUGGGUGCCUGACACAGAGCUCAUGGCCAAGAUGCCCACGCAGAUCUGUGCAGCGUCCCUGCUCCCAGGAGCAGCUGAGGACACAGGCUGUCACAAUUGGCCAGACCGAGUGUUGCAGUGGAGAUGGCACAGCCUCGAGUAAAGAAGGGGGCACCCCUCCAGGCAGGGGAGCCAGGUGGGUAAUAUCUGUGCUGAGUAACCAGGCAAACAAAUUGGUGAGGAAGAGCUGGGAAGGGCAUCCAGGCAAAGGGAACAGUGUGAGCAAAGGCCCAGAGCCAGAGGAGAGCCUGGGUGUUCUGGAGCUGUGCGUCACGACUUCCGGUGAGCAUGGAGGGCACGGUGCGGGCAGUGGUGGGAGGUAACCCCGGGGGACUAGGUGUGUUGGCUCUCUUGAUUAUCGAUGUCCACCUUGUUCUCAAGUCCAGCCUCACCCCUUACCUGAGUGCAGGUCCCUGUCCCAGCAUAUGAGUUCAAGCAGGAAAAGGGACUUUAUAGCGAGGGUCCAGGGUCCUCCCGUGGGACUCGGGGAUGCAGCCCAGCUUUGGGAUGCUGGAACCAGACAGCCCCCGGACACUCUCAGAACCGCUUGCCUGUCCCCAUUUGCCCAGCUGAUGUGUCCUGGAUCCCUUCACCCAAAGGGAACAAUUUCCAGGUCCCAAGCCCAUCUUCCUGGGAAGGAGGUGACUGUCCUGACUCGAAUCAGGGCCUCCCUUCUGGCCCCAUCAGCUGUGGCCAGUGGUCAGAUCUGCGUGCCAAGUGUCUGUCCGCAUGACCACAUGAGAGAGGUUACCAGAAAGGGAGGCCAGAUGGACAGCCUAAAAGCCUACAAGCCAGCCAUGUCCGCUCUAGUCCAUCCCAUUCCAUCCUGCUCAGCAUUCCCCCUUGCUUAACUCCUUCGACUUUCCCCAGGUUUCUCCAUUCCUGUUGUCCUUGCCUAACGUUUAACCACAGAUACCUCUCCCCCUGACAGAGGUGACGCAAUCCAAGGUGUGUCAACCUCCUGCGUCCAGGGCUCCCUUCUCUGAGCUGCCGUCUCCAGCUGACACCCACUUGUCUGUUUCUGCUGAACCUCCUCUAAGAUGGCUCCUCGGGACCCGCUCGAUCGAUAGACUAGAAACCAACUCAAGAGAGUUUGUACUGGGUUGAAUGUUGUCCCCCCCGAAUUCAUACUCCCCUGGAACCUCAGAAUGUGACCAUAAUUGGAAAUAAGGCCCUGGUAGAUCUAAUUAGCUAAGAUGGGCUCAUCUGGAUUCAGGUGUCCUUAUAAGAAGAGGGAAAUUUGGACAAAGAUUCGGACACAAGGGGAGAGCACGGUUUGAAGAUGGAGGCAGAGGUUGGAGUGAGGCACCUACAAGCCAAGAAACACCAAGGACGGCAGGCAGCCACCAGAAGCCAGGAGAGAGGCAGGGACAGAUUCGCCCUCGGGAUCUCUGGAAGGAACCAACCCUGCCAACACUGCAAUUUCAGACUUCUGGCCUCCUGAACCAUGAGAGAAUAAAUUUCUAUUGUUUUCUACCUUGUGGCAAUUUGUUACAGCAGCCCUAGGAAACUGAUAGAGAUUUUAAGCAGAAUAUGGGAGUAAGGCAAGGGGUGUAAGGGACUUUCAGGAGAACCCGGGGGCAAGAAUGCAGUGGGACCUCAAAAAGAUACAAAGACCAGGGGCUGAAAAGCCCAAAAUCUUCUCUCUCACCCAGGACCCUCUCUUCCUCCCUGCGCCUCUGCUUCGGGGCUGUCUCUCAGUCUCUCUUUCUCUGCACAGCAGCUUCUUCAAUUGCUUUAGUCCUUUCCAUGGGCUCAAGAGGCCCCACAGCUCCCCAGCUUACAUGUUACGGUA
Non-coding RNA from Equus caballus (horse), 2222 nucleotides. The record is from RefSeq and is a predicted model, not a curated record. NCBI's taxonomy places the organism in Eukaryota, Metazoa, Chordata, Mammalia, Perissodactyla, Equidae.